GCCUGGCUAGCUCAGUCAGUAGAACAUAGGACUCUUGAUCUUGAGAUCGUGAGUUCAAGCCUCACAUUGGGCA
RNAcentral lists this transfer RNA (73 nucleotides) under Felis catus (domestic cat). It matches the Rfam family "tRNA". Rfam says of the family: Transfer RNA (tRNA) molecules are approximately 80 nucleotides in length. The record is from Rfam by way of RNAcentral. Lineage: Eukaryota; Metazoa; Chordata; Mammalia; Carnivora; Felidae. RNAcentral also lists the same sequence under 4 other names.